UUAUAAAGAAGUAUUACAGUACGUGGGGCUUUGAUCCCCAAAGAAGAAGUUAAAGCUUUUCUUUAUAAU
Molecule: transfer RNA, 69 nt
Filed under: Mytilus trossulus (common blue mussel)
Lineage: Eukaryota; Metazoa; Mollusca; Bivalvia; Mytilida; Mytilidae
Description: tRNA-Gln
Source: RNAcentral